RNAcentral lists this ribosomal RNA (460 nucleotides) under uncultured bacterium. Its description in RNAcentral is "partial 16S ribosomal RNA". It matches the Rfam family "Bacterial small subunit ribosomal RNA", at positions 338 to 795 of the family's 1533-position model. The record is from RNAcentral.
CCUACGGGAGGCAGCAGUGAGGAAUAUUGGUCAAUGGACGAGAGUCUGAACCAGCCAAGUAGCGUGAAGGAUGACUGCCCUAUGGGUUGUAAACUUCUUUUAUAUGGGAAUAAAAUGUUCCACGUGUGGGAUUUUGUAUGUACCAUAUGAAUAAGGAUCGGCUAACUCCGUGCCAGCAGCCGCGGUAAUACGGAGGAUCCGAGCGUUAUCCGGAUUUAUUUGGUUUAAAGGGAGCGUAGGUGGAUUGUUAAGUCAGUUGUGAAAGUUUGCGGCUCAACCGUAAAAUUGCAGUUGAAACUGGCAGUCUUGAGUACAGUAGAGGUGGGCGGAAUUCGUGGUGUAGCGGUGAAAUGCUUAGAUAGCACGAAGAACGCCGAUUGCGAAGGCAGCUCACUGGACUGCAACUGACACUGAGGCUCGAAAGUGUGGGUAUCAAACAGGAUUAGAUACCCGAGUAGUC